Molecule: ribosomal RNA, 444 nt
Filed under: uncultured bacterium
Lineage: Bacteria
Description: partial 16S ribosomal RNA
Rfam family: Bacterial small subunit ribosomal RNA
Source: RNAcentral
CCUACGGGAGGCAGCAGUGGGGAAUAUUGGGCAAUGGAGGCAACUCUGAUGCAGCGACGCCGCGUGAAUGAAGAAGGUCUUCGGAUUGUAAAGUUCUAUAAUUGGGGACGAAAAAAAUGACGGUACCCAAGGAAUAAGCCCCGGCUAACUACGGGACAGCAGCGGCGGGAAGACGUAGGGGGCAAGCGUUGGUCGGAAGGACUGGGCGGUAAGGGGGUGUAGGCGGUGUAGGCAAGUAGAAGUGGAAUACCUAGAGCUUAACUCAGGGGCUGCUUCUAAAACUGCUAUACUUGAGUGCAGUAGAGGUAAGUGGAAUUCCUAGUGUAGCGGUGAAAUGCGUAGAUAUUAGGAGGAACAUCAGUGGCGAAGGCGACUUUCUGGACUGUAACUGACGCUGAGGCACGAAAGUGUGGGGAGCAAACAGGAUUAGAUACCCUGGUAGUC